UACCAAACAUAACCCUGGUAGAUCUUACCGCGUUUCAUCUCCAUUUUCAAAAUCAGUUCACCCUAGUAAGCAUAUACUUUCACCAGUCACAGGCUAAAACUCAAGAACUUUGAAACAAAAGGAAAGACAGGAAGAGAGGAGUGAGAGUGAAAGAAGAAGCAAUGGCGACGCGUACGAUCUCGCAGGAAGCUUUCGAAGAACUUGUGAAAGAAAACGUCGACGACCUCGGCAUGGACCCCACCGAGGCCCUCCAAGACGCCAUCCAGACCCUCACUCUUCAAGGCGUCGAUCUCUCAGGCAUCGUCACCUCCGUCCCCGGCGACACCAACCCCGUCAUCGACUGCUUGGACCGCUUGAAGCACCUCCAAUCCGAACCCGACGAUCACGAAAGUCGCCAUAGCGGUCAACACGCUCCAUGAAUUGUGUUCGAAUCCAAAUCCAAAUGCAAAUUCUAAUUCGGCAAUUGCGACCAGAAACAGUGCCGUCGAGUUAACUUGUUCGCUCUGUUCCAAAAUCCCCCGCGCCACUGGAUCUCGCGAGCUCCUUCUCUCUGCUUUAAACGCAUUGUCGUCGUUGCUUCACGAUGUUCAGAGUACGGGCACGUUUCAGCGGUGUGACGGACCGACGAUUGUGAUUGGUUUUCUGGCUGAUAAUAAGCAGGAUGUGGAGGUCUUGAGCAGUGGAUUUCGCGUCGUGGCUUCUGCGGCGACCGGCGAUGAGAUCGUGAAGGAGUCCUUUAUGGAGUUGAAGGUUGAUGAGCUGGUUUUGGAGAUCUUGUCGUUGCAUAAGAACAGGGGGAUCCAGAGUUUGUAUGACGCAGUUCGCGCGCUUUUGACUCCGGAUGACAAUCGAAUCGUGGCUUCGCAGGUGAGUUCGGCUGCUUGAUGAUAUGUUAGAUUAUGUUUCGUUUACCGUUUGGUCACUUCCAAGUUACGUUUUGUCCCGAAAACUCAGUUUGGUUGUAUGU
Non-coding RNA from Vigna umbellata (rice bean), 967 nucleotides. The record is from RefSeq and is a predicted model, not a curated record. Lineage: Eukaryota; Viridiplantae; Streptophyta; Magnoliopsida; Fabales; Fabaceae.